RNAcentral lists this ribosomal RNA (484 nucleotides) under uncultured bacterium. RNAcentral describes it as "bacterial SSU rRNA". It matches the Rfam family "Bacterial small subunit ribosomal RNA", at positions 44 to 507 of the family's 1533-position model. The record is from RNAcentral.
AGGCCUAACACAUGCAAGUCGAGCGGCAGCGACAACAAUGAACCUUCGGGGGAUUUGUUGGGCGGCGAGCGGCGGACGGGUGAGUAAUGCUUAGGAAUUUGCCCAGUCGAGGGGGACAACAGUUGGAAACGACUGCUAAUACCGCAUACGCCCUACGGGGGAAAGCAGGGGCUCUUCGGACCUUGCGCGAUUGGAUAAGCCUAAGUGAGAUUAGCUAGUUGGUGAGGUAAUGGCUCACCAAGGCGACGAUCUCUAGCUGGUUUGAGAGGAUGAUCAGCCACACUGGGACUGAGACACGGCCCAGACUCCUACGGGAGGCAGCAGUGGGGAAUAUUGCACAAUGGGCGAAAGCCUGAUGCAGCCAUGCCGCGUGUGUGAAGAAGGCCUUCGGGUUGUAAAGCACUUUCAGCGAGGAGGAAAGGUCAGUGGUUAAUACCCGCUGGCUGUGACGUUACUCGCAGAAGAAGCACCGGCUAACUCCGUG